Ribosomal RNA from Carassius auratus (goldfish), 119 nucleotides. NCBI's taxonomy places the organism in Eukaryota, Metazoa, Chordata, Actinopteri, Cypriniformes, Cyprinidae. The record is from Ensembl.
GCUUACGGCCAUACCAACCUGGCUAUGCCCGAUCUCGUCUGCUCUCCGAAGCUAAGCAGGUUUGGGCCUGGUUAGUACUUGGAUGGGAGACCGCCUGGGAAUACCAGGUGCUGUAAGCU